This 492-nucleotide ribosomal RNA is filed under the name uncultured bacterium. RNAcentral describes it as "partial 16S ribosomal RNA". It matches the Rfam family "Bacterial small subunit ribosomal RNA", at positions 29 to 507 of the family's 1533-position model. The record is from RNAcentral.
AGUGAACGCUGGCGGUAGGCCUAACACAUGCAAGUCGAACGGCAGCACAGUAAGAGCUUGCUCUUACGGGUGGCGAGUGGCGGACGGGUGAGGCAUACAUCGGAAUCUACUUUUUCGUGGGGGAUAACGUAGGGAAACUUACGCUAAUACCGCAUACGACCUACGGGUGAAAGCAGGGGAUCUUCGGACCUUGCGCGAUUGAAUGAGCCGAUGUCGGAUUAGCUAGCUGGCGGGGUAAAGGCCCACCAAGGCGACGAUCCGUAGCUGGUCUGAGAGGAUGAUCAGCCACACUGGAACUGAGACACGGUCCAGACUCCUACGGGAGGCAGCAGUGGGGAAUAUUGGACAAUGGGCGCAAGCCUGAUCCAGCCAUACCGCGUGGGUGAAGAAGGCCUUCGGGUUGUAAAGCCCUUUUGUUGGGAAAGAAAAGCAGCAGGUUAAUACCCCGCUGUUCUGACGGUACCCAAAGAAUAAGCACCGGCUAACUUCGUG